RNAcentral lists this long non-coding RNA (211 nucleotides) under Lathyrus oleraceus (garden pea). Its description in RNAcentral is "Pisum sativum (pea) long non-coding RNA (PSAT_LNC012382)". The record is from RNAcentral. Lineage: Eukaryota; Viridiplantae; Streptophyta; Magnoliopsida; Fabales; Fabaceae.
UUUCCACCUCCCGAGUGAGGUUCUUAUGAGUUUGCUCCCUCUUGUUUAUGAUAGAACAUUGAGGAAAAUGUUUGGCUGAAGUUCCACGGGAGGGGGGGUACUUCUUUACUUUUCUUGCAUUUUUACUUUCUUUAACUUUUAUGUUCAUGUUUUCUUUCUUAUUUUUAGCUAUUUCUAUUUUAUUUCUUUCAAAAGAUCGCCUUUUCGUAGU